AAAAUCCGUCGCUUUUAAAAUCGUGAGGGUUCAAGUCCCU
This 40-nucleotide transfer RNA is filed under the name Lachnaea pomposa. RNAcentral describes it as "partial transfer RNA-Leu (UAA)". Lineage: Eukaryota; Viridiplantae; Streptophyta; Magnoliopsida; Malvales; Thymelaeaceae. The record is from RNAcentral.